GCAAAAGAUAAAUAGAGGUAAUCAAGUGGCUACUUAAAUAGGAAAAAUUGUUCCCAAGGAGCUGAGAGUUUUAUUUGUAGGUCAUUUGCCCAUGGAUAGGUGGUCGGAUGGUGUCUCGAUCAUAGUGGGUGGGAUGCCUUAAGGUUAAGGUAUAAUGAUGCACUGGAAGAACUAGGUUCCAUGAUAAAAAGAAAUUUCUCAGUUCAGGUUGAAGUUAUUGGUUUGCAGCUAGGAGAUAUGGUUGUUCUUUUAAUUAUUGUUUCUUAAAAUUUUCUUUUUGUCACUAUAAAAAUGGGGAUUGGGAAAUGUCAAGUUAUUUAAAUAGACACAAUAUCAAUUCUCUUGUCCUUCUCAUAGAAGUGGAGGAAAAAUAUAUUUGAGAUAUCUAAGACAAAAAUAGUACAGCCUACCGAUGGGAUCUUUAUGGAAAACUAAUAUGAAGAGGCAUGUGAGGUAUAUUAGGCCAAACCUUGGGUGAGGCAUUUUUCUCAGUAGUUUACCCUAAAUGGGUCACAUAUUUGUUUCUUUGAAUAUGAUUUUCUUAAUGGAAAUUUUGUGCAUUUGUUUUGCUACUUGUUGGCAAAAUAAGUCUCUUCUUUUGUCUAUCACUGCACUUAUGCAAGAAUAUUUCCCAUUCCCCAUUAUACAUGACACUUUCUUCCUUUAUUGAUCCAUUUUAAUCUUGAUUAGUAGCAUAGUGCAUUAUGUUUCAAGUGCUGCUUUUCAUAUCCUUGCUGUGUAUGUUAUGCACAAAUGUUUUAACUACUGGGAACAUAGAUCAUGUCAUAUUCUAUGCCUGGUUACACAGGUAUGACUUCCCUUGGAGUCCUA
RNAcentral lists this unclassified non-coding RNA (831 nucleotides) under Hevea brasiliensis (rubber tree). The record is from RNAcentral. Lineage: Eukaryota; Viridiplantae; Streptophyta; Magnoliopsida; Malpighiales; Euphorbiaceae.